AGCUCCAAUAGCGUAUAUUAAAGUUGUUGCAGUUAAAAAGCUCGUAGUUGGAUUUCUGAUGUCUUUUUCUGCCCUUCUUGUCAGCCAAGUGUUGAUGUAGGGUUUGAUUGGAUGUCAUCCUUCCCUGUGAAUUUGCGGCUGGUCAUUCAAUUGUCUCGGUUGUGAAUGGGGAUCGUUUACUGUGAAAAAAUUAGAGUGUUCAAAGCAAGUUUUGUUUUCUUGAAUACAUUAGCAUGGAAUAAUAAGAUAGGACUUGGGUACUAUUUUGUUGGUUUGCAUACCUAAGUAAUGAUUAAUAGGAACAUAUUGGGGAUAUCUGUAUUUUUUAGUCAGAGGUGAAAUUCUUGGAUUUAAGAAAGACAAACUACAGCGAAAGCAUUUAUCAAGGAUGUUUUCAUUA
Molecule: ribosomal RNA, 400 nt
Filed under: Aplanochytrium sp.
Lineage: Eukaryota; Bigyra; Thraustochytrida; Thraustochytriidae
Description: partial small subunit ribosomal RNA
Rfam family: Eukaryotic small subunit ribosomal RNA
Source: RNAcentral